RNAcentral lists this ribosomal RNA (253 nucleotides) under uncultured bacterium. RNAcentral's name for it is "partial 16S ribosomal RNA". It matches the Rfam family "Bacterial small subunit ribosomal RNA", at positions 524 to 776 of the family's 1533-position model. The record is from RNAcentral.
UACGAACUGUGCGAACGUUAUUCGGAAUCACUGGGCUUACAGGGUGCGUAGGCGGCUUUUCAAGUCAGGUGUGAAAGCCCCCGGCUCAACCGGGGAAUUGCGCUUGAAACUGGAGAGCUCGAGUCAGCUAGAGGUGCACGGAACUUCCAGUGGAGCGGUGAAAUGUGUUGAUAUUGGAAGGAACACCGGAGGCGAAAGCGGUGCACUGGGGCUGGUCUGACGCUGAGGCACGAAAGCCAGGGGAGCAAACGGG